This 77-nucleotide transfer RNA is filed under the name Trichonephila inaurata madagascariensis. RNAcentral describes it as "tRNA-Arg". It matches the Rfam family "tRNA". From Rfam's summary of the family: Transfer RNA (tRNA) molecules are approximately 80 nucleotides in length. The record is from RNAcentral. Lineage: Eukaryota; Metazoa; Arthropoda; Arachnida; Araneae; Nephilidae.
GACCCUGUAGCGCAAUAGAUAGCGCGUUGGACUUCUCAUCCAAAGGUCAUGGAUUCGAAUCCCAACUGAGAUGGCCU